This 955-nucleotide long non-coding RNA is filed under the name Homo sapiens (human). Its description in RNAcentral is "non-protein coding DSCR9:11". Lineage: Eukaryota; Metazoa; Chordata; Mammalia; Primates; Hominidae. The record is from RNAcentral.
ACUUAGAAGACGGCCUGACCCAGAAUAACACUAAUGUUCACAUGGCUGCGAGUCUCAGACCAAAAUCAAUAGCCGGUAUCUACUGAAACUGCAGCAAGGCGAAACCACGGGAAUGGCGCUCCGUUGAGUAGAGCAACGCACAGCACAUCACAUCGCAUCCUCCGUAGCGGGAGGCUCUGGCCUCACCGCAGCGGCACUUCCCGGAAGAGCCCAGGAUAUUCGGGGACCCGCACCGGACAGGCGGCCCAGGCCCCCUGGCGCCCAGCUGGCCGCCCUGUUGCAGCUCUCAUGCCAAGACCUGCGCCUAACGGCAGGGAUUCCGGCGGUCAUCAUUUAUUCUUGGCGCUAAGCUGCCGCUUCUCUUUUUUAUCACCACAGAGUAACGCAGACCCCACCGUUUCCUUCCAUUCUGAGCCAACCACUCCAGCAGCCACCGGGGCGCCAGGUUAUGCUGGGGCUGCACCACCCGGCCCGAGGCUUUUGAAGCCACGCCUGAGCGCGGAGGAUGGGCAGGAUUUGCCCCGUGAACUCCCGCGCACGCAGGCUCCGCGCGAGGCCCGGGCGCCCGAGCGGCGAUUCCCUCCCCUAUCACCAGCUCCAGGGUGGUGCCCCCCGGCUGUGGAGCCCAGACCCCGGCCGUCCAGCAGCGUAUAGACGAGCCCAUGUCUGCGAUGUAACUGCACCGCGCUGGGGAUCCACCUCCCGCCAGGGUGAGGGCGCCGUCCUCCAGCGUAUGCUAGGCAGGCGCGCCCCGCCCUCCUGGUCACGUGACCACGCCUACAGCCGAAGAGGAUGGGAAAAUGCGGCCCUGUUCCUGAACAGGAAGCGGAAGCAGGAAGGAACUGAGAACACCAGCAUCUGCUGCCGCCCUGAAUCAGCGUUAGCAUGUGGAGGCAACCUCAGCCCCCAGUUUUUGAAGAAGGUGAUUCAGAUUCAGACACAGGAAUUAUGGUGA